This 89-nucleotide small RNA is filed under the name Pseudidiomarina woesei. The record is from RNAcentral. Lineage: Bacteria; Pseudomonadati; Pseudomonadota; Gammaproteobacteria; Alteromonadales; Idiomarinaceae.
UCGACAUUUAUCGAGUUAGCGCACGGCUCAAUCCCUUGAGCCAUUCCCCUGAGCUCGGGACAACUUGGAUUGGUCCCGAGCCUUUUUUU